Molecule: long non-coding RNA, 746 nt
Organism: Helianthus annuus (common sunflower)
Lineage: Eukaryota; Viridiplantae; Streptophyta; Magnoliopsida; Asterales; Asteraceae
Exons: 2
Source: RefSeq, a predicted model, not a curated record
UAAUAUUUGCAACAAACUCAUCGGAGAAAUCGGGAUGUCAAUCCUUUGUGUAUUCCGUAUGUUUUGACAAAUAUUUAAAACCCUUGAACCGUCAAUCGCUUUUCACAAAUCUUUCUCUCAAACAUGUUGCUUCCGUGCUAAGAAGUUCCGGCGGAAACCUUACCCCCUACGUGCACCUUUGCCAGUCGUCUGCAACUGUCGAUGUCACCACCAUCGUCAAUCCAAACCAGUCAGAGCCACGCUACGGGUACCAGUUGCCUCACUCCGCCGUGACCGCCUCGCCGCACAACCACCGGGAUCCCCGCCACACCUAGUUCGAAGCUUGUGAUUAGCGUCUCCGACUCACGAACUACGACCAUCUCUAUUCAUUGUCUGCUAUAAUCACACGCCGUCGCACCCCCGCCGUCUGCCGCCAUUGGUUUAGUCGCCUGAGAUCUCCGAUUCACGAACAGCCACCACACCCCUCACGUUCGAUCGAUCGCGACCGUUAUAGUAGCUUCUUUCUCGUCUCUCUGUGACGCAGCCACCAUCGUCGCCACUUGAAACCGAUCCGACUCACCGAAGUCCUGCACAAUCUUUGAUUCAGUUCCGUCGAUACCGAUCCUAGUCUGAUACGCGGUAUUUAUAUUCAUCUAUUGUCUUUCUGCUCUUGUAUAUAGUCAAAGAAGAAAUAUGGGUGUGAAUAAUCUUUAUGCAUAGUGUAUAUGUUGAAGAAGAUAGAGUAAAUAUGAGUAAAAUGUUAUAUA